CGUAGGUGAUCUACCUCUGGAUUGGGGAUAGCCUGUGGAAACACAGGGUAAUACCGAAGAUACGACCUUACUGCUGUGGUGGUAAGGGGAAAGGCGCUUAGGCGCCGUCCGGAGAUGAGCCUGCGGUCCAUUAGUUAGUUGGCAGGGUAAGAGCCUACCAAGGCGACGAUGGAUAGCCGGCCUGAGAGGGUGUACGGUCACACUGGGACUGAGACACGGCCCAGACUCCUACGGGAGGCAGCAGCUAAGAAUCUUCCGCAAUGGGGGAAACCCUGACGGAGCGACGCCGCGUGGACGAAGAAGGCCGGAAGGUUGUAAAGUCCUUUUCCUGGGGGAGAAUAAGGUAGUGAGGCAAUGUGCUACCGAUGACGUGAACCAGGGAAUAAGCCCCGGCUAAUUACGUGCCAGCAGCCGCGGUAACACGUAAGGGGCGAGCGUUGUUCGGAUUUAUUGGGCGUAAAGGGCGUGUAGGCGGUGGUGCAAGUCUGGUGUGAAAGACCCCGGCUCAACCGGGGAGAUGCGCUGGAAACUGUGCUGCUAGAGUCUAGGAGGGGAAGCUGGAAUUCCUGGUGUAGGGGUGAAAUCUGUAGAGAUCAGGAAGAACACCGGAGGCGAAGGCGAGCUUCUGGCCAUAGACUGACGCUGA
This 646-nucleotide ribosomal RNA is filed under the name uncultured spirochete. RNAcentral's name for it is "bacterial SSU rRNA". It matches the Rfam family "Bacterial small subunit ribosomal RNA", at positions 116 to 749 of the family's 1533-position model. The record is from RNAcentral. Lineage: Bacteria; Pseudomonadati; Spirochaetota; Spirochaetia; Spirochaetales.